RNAcentral lists this ribosomal RNA (447 nucleotides) under uncultured bacterium. RNAcentral describes it as "partial 16S ribosomal RNA". It matches the Rfam family "Bacterial small subunit ribosomal RNA", at positions 29 to 523 of the family's 1533-position model. The record is from RNAcentral.
AACGAACGCUGGCGGCAGGCUUAACACAUGCAAGUCGAACGCCCCGCAAGGGGAGUGGCAGACGGGUGAGUAACGCGUGGGAAUCUACCUUUUGCUACGGGAUAGCUCCGGGAAACUGGAAUUAAUACCGUAUGUGCCCUCCGGGGGAAAGAUUUAUCGGCAAAGGAUGAGCCCGCGUUGGAUUAGCUAGUUGGUGGGGUAAAGGCCUACCAAGGCGACGAUCCAUAGCUGGUCUGAGAGGAUGAUCAGCCACAUUGGGACUGAGACACGGCCCAAACUCCUACGGGAGGCAGCAGUGGGGAAUAUUGGACAAUGGGCGCAAGCCCGAUCCAGCCAUGCCGCGUGAGUGAUGAAGGUCUUAAGAUUGUAAAGCUCUUUCACCGGGGACGAUAAUGACGGUACCCGGAGAAGAAGCCCCGGCUAACUUCGUGCCAGCCGCCGCAGUAA